This 64-nucleotide transfer RNA is filed under the name Gastrolina depressa. Its description in RNAcentral is "tRNA-Trp". The record is from RNAcentral. Lineage: Eukaryota; Metazoa; Arthropoda; Insecta; Coleoptera; Chrysomelidae.
AAGGAUUUAAGUUAAGCUAAACUCUUAGCCUUCAAAGCUAAAAAUAGAUUAUAUCUAAGCCUUA